Molecule: ribosomal RNA, 1338 nt
Filed under: uncultured bacterium
Lineage: Bacteria
Description: bacterial SSU rRNA
Rfam family: Bacterial small subunit ribosomal RNA
Source: RNAcentral
GACGAACGCUGGCGGCGCGCCUAACACAUGCAAGUCGAACGAGCGAGAGAGAGCUUGCUUUCUCGAGCGAGUGGCGAACGGGUGAGUAACGCGUGAGGAACCUGCCUCAAAGAGGGGGACAACAGUUGGAAACGACUGCUAAUACCGCAUAAGCCCACAGCUCGGCAUCGAGCAGAGGGAAAAGGAGCAAUCCGCUUUGAGAUGGCCUCGCGUCCGAUUAGCUAGUUGGUGAGGUAACGGCCCACCAAGGCGACGAUCGGUAGCCGGACUGAGAGGUUGAACGGCCACAUUGGGACUGAGACACGGCCCAGACUCCUACGGGAGGCAGCAGUGGGGAGUAUUGCACAAUGGGGGAAACCCUGAUGCAGCGACGCCGCGUGGAGGAAGAAGGUCUUCGGAUUGUAAACUCCUGUUGUUGGGGAAGAUAAUGACGGUACCCAACAAGGAAGUGACGGCUAACUACGUGCCAGCAGCCGCGGUAAAACGUAGGUCACAAGCGUUGUCCGGAAUUACUGGGUGUAAAGGGAGCGCAGGCGGGAAGACAAGUUGGAAGUGAAAUCUAUGGGCUCAACCCAUAAACUGCUUUCAAAACUGUUUUUCUUGAGUAGUGCAGAGGUAGGCGGAAUUCCCGGUGUAGCGGUGGAGUGCGUAGAUAUCGGGAGGAACACCAGUGGCGAAGGCGGCCUACUGGGCACCAACUGACGCUGAGGCUCGAAAGUGUGGGUAGCAAACAGGAUUAGAUACCCUGGUAGUCCACACCGUAAACGAUGAUUACUAGGUGUUGGAGGAUUGACCCCUUCAGUGCCGCAGUUAACACAAUAAGUAAUCCACCUGGGGAGUACGACCGCAAGGUUGAAACUCAAAGGAAUUGACGGGGGCCCGCACAAGCAGUGGAGUAUGUGGUUUAAUUCGACGCAACGCGAAGAACCUUACCAAGUCUUGACAUCCCUUGACAGACAUAGAAAUAUGUAAUCUCUUCGGAGCAAGGAGACAGGUGGUGCAUGGUUGUCGUCAGCUCGUGUCGUGAGAUGUUGGGUUAAGUCCCGCAACGAGCGCAACCCUUAUGGUCAGUUACUACGCAAGAGGACUCUGGCCAGACUGCCGUUGACAAAACGGAGGAAGGUGGGGAUGACGUCAAAUCAUCAUGCCCUCUAUGACUUGGGCUACACACGUACUACAAUGGCGUUAAACAAAGAGAAGCAAGACCGCGAGGUGGAGCAAAACUCAGAAACAACGUCCCAGUUCGGACUGCAGGCUGCAACUCGCCUGCACGAAGUCGGAAUUGCUAGUAAUCGUGGAUCAGCAUGCCACGGUGAAUACGUUCCCGGGCCUUGCACU